AUUGAACGCUGGCGGCAGGCCUAACACAUGCAAGUCGAGCGGAUGAAGGGAGCUUGCUCCUGGAUUCAGCGGCGGACGGGUGAGUAAUGCCUAGGAAUCUGCCUGGUAGUGGGGGAUAACGUCCGGAAACGGGCGCUAAUACCGCAUACGUCCUGAGGGAGAAAGUGGGGGAUCUUCGGACCUCACGCUAUCAGAUGAGCCUAGGUCGGAUUAGCUAGUUGGUGGGGUAAAGGCCUACCAAGGCGACGAUCCGUAACUGGUCUGAGAGGAUGAUCAGUCACAGUGAAAGUGAGAACGGGCCCAGACUCCAAGGGGGGCAAGGAGGGGGAAAUUUGGGAAAAGGGGGGAAGGGCUAAUCAGGCAAGGGCGGGUGGGUGAAGAAGGUUUUGGGUUUGAAAAGCUUUUGAGGUUGGGGGAAGGGGAAGUAAUUAAAUGCCUGGCUGUUGAGACGUUCCAAAAAAAAAAAGCCCGGGAAAACUGUG
This 482-nucleotide ribosomal RNA is filed under the name uncultured bacterium. RNAcentral's name for it is "partial 16S ribosomal RNA". It matches the Rfam family "Bacterial small subunit ribosomal RNA", at positions 29 to 505 of the family's 1533-position model. The record is from RNAcentral.